Molecule: ribosomal RNA, 444 nt
Filed under: uncultured bacterium
Lineage: Bacteria
Description: bacterial SSU rRNA
Rfam family: Bacterial small subunit ribosomal RNA
Source: RNAcentral
GAAUUCGAUUCAGGCCUAACACAUGCAAGUCGAACGGCAGCACGGGUGCUUGCACCUGGUGGCGAGUGGCGAACGGGUGAGUAAUAUAUCGGAACGUACCUUAUCGUGGGGGAUAACGCAGCGAAAGGCUGUGCUAAUACCGCAUAGGGCCUAAGGGGGAAAGGAGGGGACCGUAAGGCCUUGCGCGAUUAGAGCGGCCGAUACGUGAGUAGCUAGUUGGUGAGGUAAAGGCUCACCAAGGCAACGAUCAGUAGCUGGUCUGAGAGGACGAUCAGCCACACUGGGACUGAGACACGGCCCAGACUCCUACGGGAGGCAGCAGUGGGGAAUUUUGGACAAUGGGGGCAACCCUGAUCCAGCAAGGCCGCGUGAGUGAAGAAGGCCUUCGGGUGUAAAGCAAGGGGUCAGGGAAGAAACAGCAGCUCUAUACAGUAUGCGAAUGAC